CAUAUUACCGAAGCUGUGGACUACACCAUUAGGUGUAGUGGUAGGAGAGCGUUCUAAGGGCGUUGAAGGUCGAUCGUGAGGACGGCUGGAGCGCUUAGAAGUGAGAAUGCCGGUAUGAGUAGCGAAAGACAGGUGAGAAUCCUGUCCACCGUAUGACUAAGGUUUCCUGGGGAAGGCUCGUCCGCCCAGGGUUAGUCGGGACCUAAGCCGAGGCCGAUAGGCGUAGGCGAUGGACAACAGGUUGAUAUUCCUGUACCAGUUGUUUUUGUUUGAGCAAUGGAGGGACGCAGUAGGCUAAGGAAUGCAUGCGAUUGGAAGUGCAUGUCCAAGCAAUGAGUCUUGAG
This 344-nucleotide ribosomal RNA is filed under the name Enterococcus faecalis. RNAcentral describes it as "partial 23S ribosomal RNA". It matches the Rfam family "Bacterial large subunit ribosomal RNA", at positions 1187 to 1530 of the family's 2925-position model. The record is from RNAcentral. Lineage: Bacteria; Bacillati; Bacillota; Bacilli; Lactobacillales; Enterococcaceae.